Molecule: long non-coding RNA, 395 nt
Organism: Solanum pennellii
Lineage: Eukaryota; Viridiplantae; Streptophyta; Magnoliopsida; Solanales; Solanaceae
Exons: 2
Source: RefSeq, a predicted model, not a curated record
CCCCCCCCAUUUCUUUUACCCCUUCACGUUCUCUUCUACUAUUUUUUGCAAGUAAUUCAACAAGCAGCAGCUCCCACUCAACGAAGAGGCAGCAGCAACAUUGAACUCCAGCAAGCCUCAUUCUCGUCAGAAGCAGCGACAACAAAUCAGCAAGGCCCUCGUGUCUUCUUAGGUAUCCAAGACUUGUGUCCUUGAAGCUAUUCGAAAGGACUUCGAAUUAUAUUUUUAAAUUCAUUAUUUUGUAUAUAUUGAUGUUAGACAAAUCUUAGGUCAAUACUAUUAUUUUAUUUCACUAUUUAUAUUGCUUGUUUAUUAUAUUUGUACAUUAUUUUAUUCUCCUAUUCAAUUUGAAAUUAUGAACUGACUUGGGAACCACAAUUGUGGAUUUCGAAAGA